Monodelphis domestica (gray short-tailed opossum) is the source of this 1698-nucleotide long non-coding RNA. The record is from Ensembl. Lineage: Eukaryota; Metazoa; Chordata; Mammalia; Didelphimorphia; Didelphidae.
CAUUUUUCUCUUGACACACAGAAUUUCUAAUUACCAAGUACUAUUCAGCUGAUGAGUACAGCUGUUCUUUUUAGAGAUGGAGAGGGCUUUUAUUAACUUUUUAAAAAAAUAUAAUUUUGCUAAAAUUCCUAUAGUGUUCAGCCUAUUCCACUGGCCUCUUGUUCUGUAAGCCUCACCCAGCACUGAAGCAAGACCUGGGAAAAUCUAGUCCUGAGACUGAUGGUUAAUUGUGCUAAUCCUAUUUUUCAGAUAUGGAGCCAAGGGAACUUCUUUUGCUGAGGCUGUAAUUCGCCAUGAGGGAGAGACUAUCCAAGUAAACAUAAGGAAGAAUCAAAAUUGGAUCAUGUUGAUGCACAAUGUUGGGACAUUGUGGAGUUGUUUCAUCAGUGUUAAAAUUCCGCUACUUUUCCUUGAAGAUGGAGAGAUGGAAGCACAGGAAAAUAAACAAUUCUGAUGGUGAUUCUGCCUGCCUCAAGCCUUUCCUCAUUCUAAAUCCAUCCUCAGUUCAGUUACUAAGGCUCUGUACCCAUUGGUUUGCCGAUGGAAGUGUCAGAAGUCUGAACCACAUCUAUUAAUUUUCUGGAGGACAAAGUUGUCCAGUGAUUUCCAAAAUGCCACAACCAGAAAGGAAGGAAAGCUUUAAAGUCAUGAUGAAUGUUACAGUUCCCCUGGAUGUUUCAGUUCCUCAGCCCAUCACUGUCUCUGGAGAGCAUACAGGGAAGCUAUGUGGCACAGUGGAAAGAAUGCCAGACCUGAAAUCAAGAGGAUCUGAGUUCAAGUCAGGUCUCAGAUACUUACCAGCUGUGUGACACUGGGCAAGUCACUUCACCCUGUUUGCCUCAGUUUAUUCGUCUGGAAAGUGAGCUGGAGAAGGAAAUGGCAGACCAUUCCAGUAUCUUUACCAAAAAAAAAAAAUCCACAAAAACAACAAAACCCAAAUAGGGUCAUGAAGAAUCAAAUACAACUAAUUGACUAAACAACUGGAGAGCUUAACUUAAAUAGGAUUGGGAAAUAGUUUGGAGGGAGGAGAAAGUUCACCUGUCAUGUAUGGUGAAGAUCACUAACAACACCACCACCACUUCUCUCCCACCCUAACUCCACAGAUAAAUGCAAACCGAAUACAGAUAAAACUAGGAGAAUUGGAUAUAAAUACCUCCUGAAGUCAUACUGUGUGUAUGAUACUUUAGAUAUGUUUAGAUACUUUAGUCAUUUCAGAUCCUACAUCUCCCUGUCAAGGAGCUUUCCAGGACUGACUUUUAGGGUAUGUUCUUGUCUUUCUUGGUCUGAAGCCAUGGGUUAAAGUAACUUGAAGGUUGACCUUAAAUGACCUUGGGAUGACCAGAAAAGGGGGAGUUUUAAUAGAGAACUGAUCAGAUUAAGCAGAUGACGUCAUUUCAGUAUCUCUCAGCUGUUUUAUUCUAAUGUCCAAGUUUUAUUAGCUUGGCUAGACCCAAGGCUAUGAUCUGAACACAUUCAUUCAGUUAAUGCCAAGAAUUUAUGGAGUGCUUAAUGUGUGCUCAGACUUGUGCUGGAACUGUGGGGGAAAUAGAGAAAUAAUAAGAUACAGUUCCUUGCACUCAGGGAGAUUAUAGCCUCCAUGGGAAUCCAAGACAAUGCUACCUAAACCAGUGAGAUAACAAUACAUCUAAGACAUUGUCGGUCUUGACUUCUCUAUACCUUCUCCCGUCUAGCCAUCAU